RNAcentral lists this ribosomal RNA (429 nucleotides) under Acidobacteriota bacterium. RNAcentral's name for it is "Acidobacteria bacterium partial 16S ribosomal RNA". It matches the Rfam family "Bacterial small subunit ribosomal RNA", at positions 355 to 776 of the family's 1533-position model. The record is from RNAcentral. Lineage: Bacteria; Pseudomonadati; Acidobacteriota.
UAGGGAAUCUUCGGCAAUGGACGAAAGUCUGACCGAGCAACGCCGCGUGAGUGAAGAAGGUUUUCGGAUCGUAAAACUCUGUUGUUCGAGAAGAACAAGGACGUUAGUAACUGAACGUCCCCUGACGGUAUCUAACCAGAAAGCCACGGCUAACUACGUGCCAGCAGCCGCGGUAAUACGUAGGUGGCAAGCGUUGUCCGGAUUUAUUGGGCGUAAAGCGAGCGCAGGCGGUUUCUUAAGUCUGAUGUGAAAGCCCCCGGCUCAACCGGGGAGGGUCAGUGGAAACUGGGAGACUUGAGUGCAGAAGAGGAGAGUGGAAUUCCAUGUGUAGCGGUGAAAUGCAUAGAUAUAUGGAGGAACACAAGUGGCGAAGGCGGCUCUCUGGUCUGUAACUGACGCUGAGGCUCGAAAGCGUGGGGAGCAAACAGG